RNAcentral lists this ribosomal RNA (496 nucleotides) under uncultured bacterium. RNAcentral's name for it is "partial 16S ribosomal RNA". It matches the Rfam family "Bacterial small subunit ribosomal RNA", at positions 29 to 523 of the family's 1533-position model. The record is from RNAcentral.
AUUGAACGCUGGCGGCAUGCCUUACACAUGCAAGUCGAACGGUAGAGGGGGCAACCUCUCGAGAGUGGCGAACGGGUGAGUAAAGCAUCGGAACGUGCCCAGUAGUGGGGGAUAGCCCGGCGAAAGCCGGAUUAAUACCGCAUGAGACCUACGGGUGAAAGGGGGGGAUCGCAAGACCUCUCGAUAUUGGAGCGGCCGAUGUCAGAUUAGGUAGGUGGUGGGGUAAAGGCCUACCAAGCCGUCGAUCUGUAGCUGGUCUGAGAGGACGACCAGCCACACUGGGACUGAGACACGGCCCAGACUCCUACGGGAGGCAGCAGUGGGGAAUUUUGGACAAUGGGCGAAAGCCUGAUCCAGCCAUGCCGCGUGCGGGAAGAAGGCCUUCGGGUUGUAAACCGCUUUUGUCAGGGAAGAAAUCCUUUGAGUUAAUACCUCGGGGGGAUGACGGUACCUGAAGAAUAAGCACCGGCUAACUACGUGCCAGCAGCCGCAGUAA